AUUGAACGCUGGCGGCAUGCCUUACACAUGCAAGUCGAACGGCAGCACGGGUGCUUGCACCUGGUGGCGAGUGGCGAACGGGUGAGUAAUACAUCGGAACAUGUCCUGUAGUGGGGGAUAGCCCGGCGAAAGCCGGAUUAAUACCGCAUACGAUCUACGGAUGAAAGCGGGGGACCUUCGGGCCUCGCGCUAUAGGGUUGGCCGAUGGCUGAUUAGCUAGUUGGUGGGGUAAAGGCCUACCAAGGCGACGAUCAGUAGCUGGUCUGAGAGGACGACCAGCCACACUGGGACUGAGACACGGCCCAGACUCCUACGGGAGGCAGCAGUGGGGAAUUUUGGACAAUGGGCGAAACCCUGAUCCAGCAAUGCCGCGUGUGUGAAGAAGGCCUUCGGGUUGUAAAGCACUUUUGUCCGGAAAGAAAUCCUUGGCCCUAAUACGGUCGGGGGAUGACGGUACCGGAAGAAUAAGCACCGGCUAACUACGUG
This 486-nucleotide ribosomal RNA is filed under the name uncultured bacterium. RNAcentral's name for it is "partial 16S ribosomal RNA". It matches the Rfam family "Bacterial small subunit ribosomal RNA", at positions 30 to 507 of the family's 1533-position model. The record is from RNAcentral.